UGACCUCGAAUCAGGUAGGACUACCCGCUGAACCUCACCAUAUCAAUAAGCAGAGACGACAUCGGU
RNAcentral lists this ribosomal RNA (66 nucleotides) under Calonectria reteaudii. Its description in RNAcentral is "partial 28S ribosomal RNA". The record is from RNAcentral. Lineage: Eukaryota; Fungi; Ascomycota; Sordariomycetes; Hypocreales; Nectriaceae.